RNAcentral lists this ribosomal RNA (462 nucleotides) under uncultured bacterium. RNAcentral's name for it is "SSU rRNA". It matches the Rfam family "Bacterial small subunit ribosomal RNA", at positions 26 to 518 of the family's 1533-position model. The record is from RNAcentral.
AGGAUUAACGCUGGCGGCGUGCCUAACACAUGCAAGUCGAACGAGGUAGCAAUACCUAGUGGCAGACGGGUGAGUAACGCGUGGUCAACCUACCGUUGAGUGGGGGAUAACUAGCCGAAAGGUUAGCUAAUACCGCAUACGAGUCUCGGGGGCAUCCCUGGGCCAUAAAAGGAGCAAUCCGCUCGAUGACGGGACCGCGUCCCAUUAGCUAGAUGGUGGGGUAACGCCUACCAUGGCACCGAUGGGUAGCUGGUUUGAGAGAGCGACCAGCCACACUGGGACUGAGAAACGGCCCAGACUCCUACGGGAGGCAGCAGUGAGGAAUUUUCCGCAAUGGGCGAAAGCCUGACGGAGCGACGCCGCGUGUGGGAAGAAGGCCUUCGGGUCGUAAACCACUGUCGAAGGGGACGAUAAUGACGGUACCCUUGGAGGAAGCCCGGCUAACUACGUGCCAGCAGCCGC